RNAcentral lists this ribosomal RNA (333 nucleotides) under uncultured Pelobacter sp. Its description in RNAcentral is "bacterial SSU rRNA". It matches the Rfam family "Bacterial small subunit ribosomal RNA", at positions 1057 to 1382 of the family's 1533-position model. Lineage: Bacteria; Pseudomonadati; Thermodesulfobacteriota; Desulfuromonadia; Desulfuromonadales; Desulfuromonadaceae. The record is from RNAcentral.
AGCUCGUGUCGUGAGAUGUUGGGUUAAGGUACCCGCCAACGAAGCGCAACCCUUACGUCCUUACGUUGUCCAGCAUUCAAGUUGGGCACUCUAAGGAGACUGCCGGUGUUAAACCGGAGGAAGGUGGGGAUGACGUCAAGUCCUCAUGGCCCUUAUGUCCAGGGCUACACACGUGCUACAAUGGCCGGUACAAAGGGCUGCAAUACCGCAAGGUGGAGCGAACCCCAAAAAGCCGGUCUCAGUUCGGAUUGGAGUCUGCAACUCGACUCCAUGAAGUUGGAAUCGCUAGUAAUCGCGGAUCAGCAUGCCGCGGUGAAUACGUUCCCGGGCCUU